RNAcentral lists this non-coding RNA (259 nucleotides) under Clostridium chauvoei. RNAcentral's name for it is "T-box sequence". It matches the Rfam family "T-box leader". From Rfam's summary of the family: Uncharged tRNA acts as the effector for transcription antitermination of genes in the T-box leader family. Lineage: Bacteria; Bacillati; Bacillota; Clostridia; Eubacteriales; Clostridiaceae. The record is from RNAcentral.
UUAAAGAUAAUGAUAAGGAAGAGUAUAUAAAGAAAACUUUAAAGAGAGCUGAAAAAUGGUGGAAUUUCAGUAAGUAAACUUUAUAGAAGCAGCCUUUGAAUCUCUUAUUGAAAAAUAAGAAUUUAAAUUCUUAAUUAGAUAAUGACGUUUUCCUUACGUUAUAGAGGAUAGAAUAUAAUUUAUUUUAUAUUCUAGAUGAGUGAGCAAGUAUAACUUGCUUAUUAGGGUGGUACCGCGAAGUAGUUCCUUCGUCCCUUUU